ACGGGUGAGUAACACGUAUCCAACCUGCCGUCUACACUUGGACAGCCUUCUGAAAGGAAGAUUAAUACAAGAUGGCAUCAUGAGUCCGCAUGUUCACAUGAUUAAAGGUAUUCCGGUAGACGAUGGGGAUGCGUUCCAUUAGAUAGUAGGCGGGGUAACGGCCCACCUAGUCUUCGAUGGAUAGGGGUUCUGAGAGGAAGGUCCCCCACAUUGGAACUGAGACACGGUCCAA
This 232-nucleotide ribosomal RNA is filed under the name uncultured bacterium. Its description in RNAcentral is "partial 16S ribosomal RNA". It matches the Rfam family "Bacterial small subunit ribosomal RNA", at positions 102 to 334 of the family's 1533-position model. The record is from RNAcentral.